Schizosaccharomyces pombe (fission yeast) is the source of this 559-nucleotide non-coding RNA. The record is from the annotation of a GenBank genome assembly. NCBI's taxonomy places the organism in Eukaryota, Fungi, Ascomycota, Schizosaccharomycetes, Schizosaccharomycetales, Schizosaccharomycetaceae.
GGAUGUGUCGGUUUCAUCAUGACGGUCAAGCUGAAAGCAUAAAAGUUAGCCAUUAACGUGCUCAACCGAUUUUCUGAAGAAGGUACAUUCACAAUUAUACUAGCAAGUACUAGUUUAAUUAAAUGCUUUUCUCUAAAUUUUUGUUCGUCCAGAAUGGGUAUAAAAUUUCGUAGGAAAUUAAGACAAGCAAAGCGUGCUUCUUCUUUAAAAAGAGAAAGCCCCAUUACUAUCAUACCGAGGAAGUUUUGUUGUACAAUAACUUGAAUGUUAGAAACCUGCUGAUUCGAAUGAAGAAGGGAUGCCGUUAUACCAAGAGCAUAUAGUGGAUGAUAGACUUCUCUAUUCCAUUCAUUACUACAGUAACUAGAAAGGAGCCCUUCGGUAGUUUCCAAAUCGUCAAACACCUUCAAAUCAAUCUUCUCCCACUCUGAUGGAUAUUGAUUGACAGUAUUAGCAGCAAUCUUAGGUUCCAGUACCCCUGAACCGUCCUUACGAGCAAGAAGCAUCAUAUCGUAUUCGUCAGUUAUUACCCAACCUUUAUAUCGACUUGCGACGCUAA